Lates calcarifer (barramundi perch) is the source of this 2687-nucleotide long non-coding RNA. RefSeq lists it as uncharacterized. The record is from RefSeq and is a predicted model, not a curated record. Lineage: Eukaryota; Metazoa; Chordata; Actinopteri; Centropomidae. The transcript is spliced from 4 exons.
UAUCAACAAGCUCCAUGUUGUUGGCUACAGCCAGAGAGGGCAUGGCUCCUUUUUAAGAUGAUCAUGACAGGUGUGACAGAUCCAUUCAUCCUUUCUCUCAUCAGGAACUUUACACUGUUCAUUUCUGCAGCCGUCAUCACAAACAUGAACAUAUUUUCCUGUCAGACAUUCAGCAGCCACUUCUACAGUGCAGACAUUGAUCAUGAGCAUAACGCUGAGUGACAUAAGAUUACUGCUUCUGCCUGAAUUCUUCAGUUUCCCUGUAUCUUUUGUAUUUGUGUCACAACUGAACUAGGACGUGAACCCAAAUGCACAACUCAGACUCAAAAGUACGAAAUGAACAAAUCUUUAAUAGACAAAGUAACAACAGAAAAUCACUCACAAGGAGGCAAAAACUAUGAAACAAACAAGGCAAGACAAGGGAUCAAAAACUUGGUGUGACUGGAACUCGAGGUGCAGGCUGGCUUGUCUCUCUGAAUGAACAGGACAAACCAGCACAGGACAAAGGGAGACACAGACUCUAAAUAGACACAAGGUAAGGGGGAACAGGUGGAGACAAUCAGGGCGGGGCAAGCAAUCAGACAGGAGGGAAACACAUGAGGGGAAGAGGCAAGUGACCUGAAACGAGAGGAGAGUAAGAUUUCAAAAUAAAACAGGAAGACACAAGACAACAUGAAGACAGGACAACACAGCAGUGAGUUAACAUAAUUUCUUGGACAUGACAAUUUGUUGCUUGAAUAAGAUUUCUUUUUGACUAUAUGAUUCAUUAGAAGAAUACUUUUCCUUCUCUUUUCUUUUUUGGUUUGCUUUUCUUUUUGGUGCUUUCCUUGAGAUCAUUAGUCUCCUCUGAAAUGUUCUCCUUUCAUUUUUACCAAGUUUGACCAGUUUAGAGGAGAGGUCAUGUGAGACUUUAUCAGACAGAUCACUGGCAGCAGGUUUUAUCAGUGGAACAGUUGAGAGUGAUUCUUUGUGAGGAGCAUCAUGUGCUGUGACAGAAUUAAAGCUGAACUGGCUCAAUGGUUGUGGUUCAGUUUCCAUACUUUAUGCUUCAUGUAACAUGUCAUCAGAGAGGUCAGUGACCACAGUGUUUGUCUUUGGAGCAUCAACCACAACAGGACUGGGAGUUGUAGUCUGAGUGUCUGGGAUGGCUUCACUCUGAUUGGCUGUGUUCUCACUGUGAAACUCCACAGGCUUCAGCUCAUAGUUACAGGUGGACUGUGUACCAAAGCUCUUGUGACACAUUUUGAUGCUGUCAAUCAUGUCACUGAUAUGUGUGAAUGUCACCAUGACAGCUUUACCAGCAAACAGUGACGGCAAACCAUCCUCUCCUCUGGGGUGUGGGUCAAAGAAACCGUACCUGCCUGAUCUGGUUCUGAACACUGCCAUACACAACCCUGUCAUCAACAGCAAGGCAUACUGCACAUCUGACAGCAGACAGCUCAGUCCAGCCUCCAGGUCCAGAAAACUGUCCACAGCUCCAGGUAAAGGAUCUCCUAAUGUGCCGUACCGGGAAAGUAGUGUUUUGUCAGCAUGAAACACGUGUCUGCGUGCUGGGACUAAAUCUGGGAGCUCAUCAGUGGUGAGAAGCCUGGCUGCAGGACGCUCUGACACGAUGUUCACCAGGCUGAUCUCCCACGUUCACACUGUCUGUACGAGGAGGUCCUGCCACACAUGAAGCAUCUCUCUGACGCUGUGUCUGUACCAUGUCAGCAUAAGAUGGUUUUCUUGAAACAUGGUGUUCACCUCUGUGCUUCACCUGGUGCAUCUGAACAGACUCUGCUACACACAGAGUUUCACUGUAACGUCCUCUCUUCACAACAUCAGCGUACGAUACCUGUGGUACACACACUGCAUCACGUUGACCUGCCUGGUUUACAGCUUCAGCAGGAGACACCACAGACUCUCUCACCAAGUCUCUGCUCUGAGGACCAGGACCUUCUGCUUGUUCACAUGGUGCUGCACACUGAGACUCCCUCUGCUGCUGCCACUGUAGCUUUGUAGCUUGAGACCUUUUACACCUUUUACCUUGGCAUCGUUGUUGUUCUCCAAAACCACAGUUAUCGCUCUUGUAUAUAUAUUUACACAAACCACACACUAACAGGAUUACACAUUAGGGAUUGUGUUUCAAGGCUUUCUGUAGAGACUGACUAUAAAUGUUUAACAGCGUCUUAGAUCAAACUACGAGUUUCAAUGAGGCUAUUCAGUAACAAAUCAGAGAAUAAAUUAAUGCUUUAACUAAAAGUUAGGUAUCUUUUAUAUGUGACAGUUAAUAUUCAGAAUCAAUAACACAGGUGUGGUAGUGUGGUGUGAGACGAGUGCCUCUGGUAACAGGAUUUAGCCACAUGUUGAUUCAGUCACAGUCAGGAACAUUGAGUCUGUAGACCAGGACCAAAUAAAUCCAGAUCCUCCUUUUUAUUUCAAUGUCAACAGGUUAAACAACAACAAAACACUUGUAUACAGUGAAUAUUUGGAAAAUUGUGGGCGUGCACCAAUAUCUGCAGUCAACACAAACCUGAGUACAAACCUCUGAGCAGCAGGCCAAAAUUAGUAGACAGGAACAGAGGUCUACAUACAGUGCUCUUCUGCUAUCAUUUAUUUUUUCAAAUAUAAUAAAGACAGCACUGUAUCCCAACAGUAAUUUUUAUUUUUUUAGUCGAUAUUUAUACAAUACACCAAAUUUUGUAUCU